GCCUAACACAUGCAAGUCGUACGAGAGUUUUCGGACUCUAGUGGCGGACGGGUGAGUAACACGUGAGAAUUUGCCUUUAGGAGGGGGAUAACAAUUGGAAACGAAUGCUAAUACCCCAUAUGCUUUCGAGUGAAACGGAUUUAUCCGCCUAAAGAGAAGCUCGCGGCUGAUUAGCUUGUUGGUAAGGUAAGAGCUUACCAAGGCGACGAUCAGUAUCUGGUUUGAGAGGACGAUCAGACACACUGGAACUGAGACACGGUCCAGACUCCUACGGGAGGCAGCAGUGGGGAAUUUUCCGCAAUGGGCGAAAGCCUGACGGAGCAAUACCGCGUGAGGGAUGACUGCCUAUGGGUUGUAAACCUCUUUUUUCAGGGAGGAAUAAAUGACGUGUACCUGAAGAAUAAGCAUCGGCUAACUCCGUGCCAGCAGCCGCGGUAAGACGGAGGAUGCAAGUGUUAUCCGGAAUCACUGGGCGUAAAGCGUCUGUAGGUGGCUUAAUAAGUCAACUGUUAAAUCUUGAGGCUCAACUUCGAAAUCGCAGUCGAAACUAUUAGGCUAGAGUAUAGUAGAGGUAAAGGGAAUUUCCAGUGGAGCGGUGAAAUGCGUAGAUAUUGGAAAGAACACCGAUGGCGAAAGCACUUUACUGGGCUAUUACUAACAC
This 661-nucleotide ribosomal RNA is filed under the name uncultured cyanobacterium. RNAcentral describes it as "bacterial SSU rRNA". It matches the Rfam family "Bacterial small subunit ribosomal RNA", at positions 46 to 746 of the family's 1533-position model. Lineage: Bacteria; Bacillati; Cyanobacteriota. The record is from RNAcentral.